GUGGUGACAGAGGUGACAAUGGGGGAUGGUGAUUAUGGGUGACAAUGGGGAUGGUGACAAUGGGGUGGUGACAAUGGGGGGGUGACAACAGGGGGGUGGUGACAGUGGGACGUGGUGACAGAUGUGACAAUGGGGAUGGCGACCAUGGGUGGCAAUGGGGAUGGGGACAAUGGGAUGGCGACCAUGGGGUGGUAUCAAUGGGGACGGGGACAAUGGGGACAGCGACAAUGGGGGGGUUGGCGACAAUGGGGGGGUGGCGACAAUGGGGGGUGGUGACAGUGGGGGGUGGUGACAGUGGGACGUGGUGACAGUGGGACGUGGUGACAGAGGUGACAAUGGGGGAUGGUGAUUAUGGGUGACAAUGGGGAUGGUGACAACGGGGGGGUGACAACGGGGGGGUGGUGACAGUGGGAUGUGGUGACAGAUGUGAUAAUGGGGAGUGGUGACAAUGGGUGACAAUGGGGAUGGUGACAAUGGGAUGGUGACAAUGGGUGACAAUGGGGAUGGGGACAAUGGGGACAGCGACAAUGGGGGGUGGUGACAGUGGGAUGUGGUGACAGAGGUGACAAUGGGGGAUGGUGAUUAUGGGUGACAAUGGGGAUGGUGACAAUGGGGUGGUGACAAUGGGGGGGUGACAACGGGGGGGUGGUGACAGUGGGACAUGGUGACAGAUGUGACAAUGGGGAGUGGUGACAAUGGGUGACAAUGGGGAUGGUGACAAUGGGAUGGCGACCAUGGGGUGGUAUCAAUGGGGACGGGGACAAUGGGGACAGCGACAAUGGGGGGGUGGCGACAAUGGGGGGUUGGUGACAAUGGGGGGUGGUGACAGUGGGGGCUGGUGACAGUGGGACGUGGUGACAGUGGGAUGUGGUGACAGAGGUGACAAUGGGGGAUGGUGAUUAUGGGUGACAAUGGAGAUGGUGACAAUGGGGUGGUGACAAUGGGGUGGUGACAACGGGGGGGUGACAACAGGGGGGUGGUGACAGUGGGAUGUGGUGACAGAUGUGACAAUGGGGAUGGCAACCAUGGGUGACAAUGGGGAUGGGGACAAUGGGAUGGCGACCAUGGGUGACAAUGGGGACGGGGACAAUGGGGACAGCGACAAUGGGGGGUGGUGACAGUGGGAUGUGGUGACAGAGGUGACAAUGGGGUGGUGACAAUGGGGGGGUGGCAACAGUGGGAUCUGGUGACAGAGGUGACAAUGGGGGGGAUGGUGAUUAUGGGUGACAGUGGGGAUGGUGACAAUGGGGUGGUGACAACGGGGGGGUGACAACGGGGGGGUGGUGACAGUGGGAUGUGGUGACAGAUGUGACAAUGGGGAGUGGUGACAAUGGGUGACAAUGGGGAUGGUGACAAUGGGAUGGCGACCAUGGGGUGGUAUCAAUGGGGACGGGGACAAUGGGGACAGCGACAAUGGGGGGGUGGCGACAAUGGGGGGUGGCGACAGUGGGGGGUGGUGACAGUGGGACGUGGUGACAGAGGUGACAAUGGGGGGGAUGGUGAUUAUGGGUGACAAUGGGGAUGGUGACAAUGGGGUGGUGACAAUGGGGGGGUGACAACGGGGGGGUGGUGACAGUGGGAUGUGGUGACAGAUGUGACAAUGGGGAUGGCGACCAUGGGUGACAAUGGGGACGGGGACAAUGGGGACAGCGACAAUGGGGGGUGGUGACAAUGGGGGGUGGUGACAGUGGGAUGUGGUGACAGAG
This 1706-nucleotide long non-coding RNA is filed under the name Gallus gallus (chicken). Its description in RNAcentral is "lncRNA (ENSGALG00010010092.1)". The record is from RNAcentral. Lineage: Eukaryota; Metazoa; Chordata; Aves; Galliformes; Phasianidae.